CCUACGGGGAGCAGCAGUGGGGAAUAUUGGACAAUGGGCGAAAGCCUGAUCCAGCCAUGCCGCGUGUGUGAAGAAGGCCUUCGGGUUGUAAAGCACUUUCAGUGGGGAAGAAAGCCUUGGGGCUAAUACCCUCGAGGAAGGACAUCACCCACAGAAGAAGCACCGGCUAACUCCGUGCCAGCAGCCGCGGUAAUACGGAGGGUGCGAGCGUUAAUCGGAAUUACUGGGCGUAAAGCGCGCGUAGGCGGUCUGAUAAGCCGGUUGGGAAAGCCCCGGGCUCAACCUGGGAACGGCAUCCGGAACUGUCAGGCUAGAGUGCAUGAGAGGAAGGUAGAAUUCCCGGUGUAGCGGUGAAAUGCGUAGAGAUCGGGAGGAAUACCAGUGGCGAAGGCGGCCUUCUGGACUGACACUGACGCUGAGGUGCGAAAGCGUGGGUAGCAAACAGGAUUAGAUACCCCUGUAGUC
RNAcentral lists this ribosomal RNA (465 nucleotides) under Vreelandella stevensii. Its description in RNAcentral is "partial 16S ribosomal RNA". It matches the Rfam family "Bacterial small subunit ribosomal RNA", at positions 338 to 795 of the family's 1533-position model. Lineage: Bacteria; Pseudomonadati; Pseudomonadota; Gammaproteobacteria; Oceanospirillales; Halomonadaceae. The record is from RNAcentral.